GAGAGGUCAAGGCGCCCGCGCGGGAGGUUCGAUUUCCCGAGAGAAGAAGACGAUCGAGAGGGACAAAUCCAGAAGAAGAACGAGAACCACAAACAGAAACUGAAGAAUUGACGAAGAUCGUGCGAAAUAAGAGGUUGCUACGAAGCAGAAUCGAAACGGUGUCUGAGGGUGAAUCGAAGUCCAACUCUGCAGUUUGCUCUUCAGAGGCAAAAAAAUAAGUUUGAAACGACGCCAUUGUCUGCUUCUCUGGAGUAAUUUAGCGAAACCUUUGAAUGGAAGAGGCGAAAGAAAUUUUGAAGGAUAACAGGAUCGAAGAUGUCAGUUGGCUGUGUUCGCUAUCUGAAUCGGAGCUUGACAUGCUAAUUAGCAUUAAAAUGCUAGUUCUCCAACGUGCAAAAAUGAUUGGCCAUGAAGCUCUUGCUGAGAAAUUUGAUCUGAAGACACUACGUGCUAUUGGGUUUGCCUUGAUGGAACAUCUUAAAGGACAACUUAGGGCGUCAGAUGUUCCAGAUCAGUCUCAGUCUGCUGCCUUAAAUGGAUGCAACUUAUUAGACUGCAGUCUUGAGAAGAUUUUGUCAAUUGAUGAGAUAAUGGCAAGUGUUUGUUCUGACAGAAGGAAGAAACCUGGAAAAAGAAUUUCAGCCCUAGACAGGAAGUUGGACAGAAGAACUUUCUAACCGUCGACCUUUUUUUUCUCUUGGUGCCUUGAGCGAUUGGGUUCAUUCAAUGCUAUCAGUCAAAUUCUUUGCUUUAAUGCUGAGUUUUUUGGAAGAUGCCGCGACAAAAGGCUGAUUCCAGACAGAAGAACGAGAAGUUGUGAAUUAUAAGACACUAGAAGUAGAAACAGAUUCGUGUAGGUUGUCUCAACUCUUGCCGACUUGUCGGCACAAUGCAGCUUUCCACGUUGCAAGAAUUGGCGGUAAUCUUCACAAUAGCUAUGGUCAUAACGAAGAAUUUUGUUAGCUUUGAUCGCCAGUGAGUGUUAUGGCAUCAAAUUGUAGUCUAUCAUGGCGUCAAUCUGUAAUCAGGCUCCGCAAAAGUUUUGUUUAUAGAUUUUUCCUUGUUCCCGUACUCUUAAAAGAUUAUCUAUUUUUUCAAUUUAGUUGAUCUAGGGAGAUACCUCCCUGCAAGCCAUUGUAAUAGUAUACGAAGCAAAGGAACCAUUAUGAACAAUGUUACGAUUUCAUUAAUUGUUAGAGAGCCAGAUCUUAUCUUUAUGAA
RNA transcript from Momordica charantia (bitter melon), 1221 nucleotides. RefSeq lists it as uncharacterized. The record is from RefSeq and is a predicted model, not a curated record. Lineage: Eukaryota; Viridiplantae; Streptophyta; Magnoliopsida; Cucurbitales; Cucurbitaceae.